GUGACGUGCACCUGCCAUCUUGGUAGUAGCCGCUUUCGUCCAGCAGCUCCUCGACCACGGCCUGAGGAGAACCAGGGUGGAAUUUCAGUAACAUCAAAUUUGAGACAGUCACCUGUGGAAGGGAGAAGCACAAUCAUUGGGAUCUUUUUUUUUUUGAGUAAACCACUCUCGAGUCGUACCUGAGUCUUCAUCAAUGUUUCCAGUGAAGGGAAGCACCACAGGCCACCAGUCUGGACUGCUGGAACCAGACUCCAUUAGAUCACAUGACGCCUGGACCAGCUGCAGGGAAGAAACAUUUUGUAGGCCUUCACGGAGGCAAGAAACCAUAUUUGUAGUCCCACCUUGCUGAGCUCUGUCUUCAGGUUAUGCGGGUCACUUCCAAACUGGAACAGGGACUUUUUGAACUGUUCCACGAGCCGCCUCUUGACGUUGUGACGAGGAGCUGGAGGAAGCUGGAAAAAAAGGAUCAAAUUUGGACUUCAAUUUAAUUUGGGAAGGAAUAUACAAUGGUGGAAUGUACCUGCGUGAUGUAGAGCACUUUGUGAAGCUGCAACAGCAACCUGUGAAUCGGGUCCUCGAUCUGCCGAAGGUUCCUCUGGGAGACGCAGAGUCCUGACAAUACCCAAGCCGAGUUGACUUCACCAAAGUCAACAUUACAGCAAAUAAUCCAAAAGGUACCUGAUCUCGAUUUCACCCUCACUGUCGCUAAAUCCUCUCUGGAAGGACACAAAGAAACAUUUUUUAACAAAAUCACUUCCGAAAGCAACUUAUGAGAAAUAAGGAUGAAUUUAUGCUUCAAGUGAUACAAUUCAGAUUUGUUUUCCUAUCACAAUUGGAAUCGUCGCAAAAAUUCGUCAACGGGAAUCAAACCAUUGAGUGCCAAUGACGAAUAUAUUCGUCCCUUACGCCUAUCGAAAUGUGAAUCGUGUCACUUCAACCACGCAGUGUAAACAGGCAAAAGGUUGACUUGCCCACAUGGAGGUAGAUGAGGUGUAACACAGGAAGCAGAUUUUGACCCUUAAAGGUUGAAAAAAUAAUCAGCUGUGUUCAAGUUUGUUAAAGAAACCGUAAAGGCACGCAACUAACUGUAGUAUGGUCCGUCUUUCAUCUCUGCUUCUUCCUGAUUUGAGGCAGCAUCUGAAAAAAUAUUAACAUCUCAUCAUUGCGUCACAGAGUUUAAAUGAAUAUAAUUGUUAUCUAAAUUUAGAUUUUCUUCAAUGUUACUUGGAGGAAAGUGCUCAAGUUCAGAUGUUGUGAAGGCUUGUUUCUAGAAGAACAGUGGAAAAAAUGGCUGAGAUGUUUACAGUUGCUGUGUGAUUUCAUUUGAGUCCAAAGAAGCCAGACUACCUGAGCCAGGACUGAGGAGCAGCAGUUUUUCCCACUGCGGCGCCCUUCCAGGAAAUACCUCUGCGCCCGUUUCCUGUCACGUUCGGCUCGCUUCUCCAGCGCAAAGUGACAAGCGUACAGAGCGUCCAUCUGCUUCAUCAUCAGGUCGGCCAUCCGGGAGCUCACCGUCACGAUGUCAGGACGCCGUUCCGGGUCUGGACUCAAGCACCUGGGUAGUUCAAAAACAGGACAGGAAACUAAUCUGGAAUUGACAUUGAAAGUUGGAUACAUCACCCAGAUUCAAGUCGACCUUGCUGGCUAGCGAUAGCAUGUUGUUGCUAUAAAAUGGCGGCUCCAAGGCGGCCAUUUGAUAGAGGAUGCAGCCAAGGGCCCAAAUGUCAGCCUUUUCACCGUAUGGCUCGUUCUUCACCACCUCUGGACUGACACACACACAACACACAUUUUGAUUUGUCAUCAGUUACUUAUUGAAAUUCAAUACUACACAUUCUAUUUCCUAAAAAUGUCACUUGUCCUCACCAAGAGUACAAGAUGGUGCCCACCACCGAGGUCAUCUUACUGCUCUCCUGCUUCUGUUUGGCCAGGCCAAAGUCGGCUGCGGACGAGAAGAACCGUCGACGCCGUGUUACACAAUCAAAUGGAACAAGUGUGACGUUGCUGCAUGAUGUUGUUGGGUGUCAGGUCUCGGUGCACGAUGUGUUUGUCCUUGUGGAGGUAGCGCAGGGCCAAGCACAUCUAUGAUGGACAUGGGAGUUGCAACGUUCCAGGAGAGGAACUCCCUCGAUGAGCUCCAUCACGAUGUAAAGCUUGUCGUCUAUGAGCGAGCCAGUCAAACCAUCUGUCAUCUUCAUCUACUUAGAAGAGAGCCUCACCUUGCAGGAAGGUCUUGUAGUACUUGACGAUAUUCGGAUGGGCCAUCUGCACGAAAAAAGAGACACAUGAAUCACGUGACUUCUUAUCUUUGCCGAACGCCGGGUUGUGAAGGUUGACCUCUUUCAAGGCCACCAGAUUGCCAGUGCUCUGCUUGCGGACCUGAAACCUCACAGUGUCACGAAAACCAGAUGGACUUCAAGUUCAACGCUUCCAUACCUUAAAUACACUUCCAAAAGCGCCAGUGCCGAGAUGGUCCAGUACAGCGUAGCCAUUGAUCAUCUUGAGCGCGGGCCGGUUCUGGUCUAGAGCCACGAUGCUCUCUUGCAGGCUCUUUAGCUCCUCCUCCUGUCAAAACAAAUAAAAAAUCAGUAAGCCAAGAGUUAAUAAAUAGAUGGAUUAGUGUUAAUUGUCUCACAGAAUAGUCCAACACUUUAAUUUGAAGACCCUUGUAGGCUUCCAAGUCCCGCACAUAAUGGCCCACGUCAAUAAACGAUUCAUAAAGGUCCGUGAGAAACAGCCUGGAAGAAAACAAAAAAAAUCAACUUAACAUCCAUCAAGUUGACUUUGGUGAUGUCAUCGGUACCUCUUGAAAUGAUGUCUGUUCCUUUCCACGCUGAAGAGAAAGCGCAGCGCUCGGAAUGCGUAACACUGCCAAGCGACCAAUCGGCUCAUGUUACGCCAACGAUGUGUGUCAUCAUAUAUCACAAACACAAAAGAGUCAUACUUGUAAAGAGGACGGCUCGGCUUCAGAGUUUUGCGGUAAAGUCAGUUUGGCGAGGAUAUAGAUUCCGUUUUCCUGGAGGGGAAACUCAACUGGAUUCAAUUGUUACGUUUUCCACUCACUUCUUGGUCUGAACCGACCUGCACGAUGUGAUGAGCGCACGAGUCCUCCAGGCUGAGCUCGGUCAGAGCUGCGCAGCAGGCUGCA
This is a long non-coding RNA of Syngnathus acus (greater pipefish), 3145 nucleotides long. RefSeq lists it as uncharacterized. The record is from RefSeq and is a predicted model, not a curated record. The transcript has 6 exons. Lineage: Eukaryota; Metazoa; Chordata; Actinopteri; Syngnathiformes; Syngnathidae.